RNAcentral lists this ribosomal RNA (253 nucleotides) under uncultured bacterium. RNAcentral describes it as "partial 16S ribosomal RNA". It matches the Rfam family "Bacterial small subunit ribosomal RNA", at positions 524 to 776 of the family's 1533-position model. The record is from RNAcentral.
UACGUAGGGUGCAAGCGUUAAUCGGAAUUACUGGGCGUAAAGCGUGCGCAGGCGGUCCGUUAAGACAGAUGUGAAAUCCCCGGGCUUAACCUGGGAACUGCAUUUGUGACUGGCAGACUCGAGUAUGGCAGAGGGGGGUAGAAUUCCACGUGUAGCAGUGAAAUGCGUAGAGAUGUGGAGGAAUACCGAUGGCGAAGGCAGCCCCCUGGGCCAAUACUGACGCUCAUGCACGAAAGCGUGGGGAGCAAACAGG